Molecule: non-coding RNA, 76 nt
Organism: Myotis lucifugus (little brown bat)
Lineage: Eukaryota; Metazoa; Chordata; Mammalia; Chiroptera; Vespertilionidae
Source: Rfam
GAGACACUGUUAUGGGGCAAGAUUUGCUUCAGUGGGGCUUUGGUGCUCACUGAGUCUGCCCCCUGAGUGUGUCCCU